RNAcentral lists this transfer RNA (70 nucleotides) under Notochelys platynota. RNAcentral's name for it is "tRNA-His". It matches the Rfam family "tRNA". From Rfam's summary of the family: Transfer RNA (tRNA) molecules are approximately 80 nucleotides in length. Their secondary structure includes four short double-helical elements and three loops (D, anti-codon, and T loops). Further hydrogen bonds mediate the characteristic L-shaped molecular structure. tRNAs have two regions of fundamental functional importance: the anti-codon, which is responsible for specific mRNA codon recognition, and the 3' end, to which the tRNAs corresponding amino acid is attached (by aminoacyl-tRNA synthetases). tRNAs cope with the degeneracy of the genetic code in two manners: having more than one tRNA (with a specific anti-codon) for a particular amino acid; and 'wobble' base-pairing, i.e. permitting non-standard base-pairing at the 3rd anti-codon position. Lineage: Eukaryota; Metazoa; Chordata; Testudines; Geoemydidae. The record is from RNAcentral.
GUUAAUAUAGUUUCAAGACAAACAUUAGAUUGUGGCUCUAAAAAUAGGAGUUAAAUUCUCCUUAUAAACC